RNAcentral lists this long non-coding RNA (268 nucleotides) under Elaeis guineensis (African oil palm). Its description in RNAcentral is "long non-coding RNA (EGUI_LNC037131)". The record is from RNAcentral. Lineage: Eukaryota; Viridiplantae; Streptophyta; Magnoliopsida; Arecales; Arecaceae.
AGUGGAGGAUGUUCGUGAGGCUCUCUGAUCCAUGGUGGAGGAUAAAGCACCUAGGCUAGAUGGUCCCACCUUCUUCAAAAAAUUUUUCUUAUAGUCUUGAUAGAGGUAAUGAAAGUGGUAGUUGAGUAUUUUGGCAUCAGUGUGAUACUAGAGUCUUGGAUGAGGACCUUUGUCACUCUGAUCCCGAAGGGACAGAAUGUAGUCGAGCCAAAUCACUACAGACUAAUUAGCUUAUGCAUGACCAUGUACAAGAUUUAUGCUAAAGUGA